RNAcentral lists this ribosomal RNA (548 nucleotides) under uncultured spirochete. RNAcentral's name for it is "bacterial SSU rRNA". It matches the Rfam family "Bacterial small subunit ribosomal RNA", at positions 189 to 726 of the family's 1533-position model. The record is from RNAcentral. Lineage: Bacteria; Pseudomonadati; Spirochaetota; Spirochaetia; Spirochaetales.
GGGAUUUUGCAAAGAAAGGAGCUAAGGCUCCGCCCGGGGAUGGGCCCGCGUCCCAUUAGGUAGUUGGUAGGGUAAAGGCGUACCAAGCCAGAGAUGGGUAGCCGGCCUGAGAGGGUGAACGGCCACACUGGGACUGAGAUACGGCCCAGACUCCUACGGGAGGCAGCAGCUAAGAAUAUUCCGCAAUGGACGAAAGUCUGACGGAGCGACGCCGCGUGGAUGAGGAAGGCCGAAAGGUUGUAAAAUCCUUUUAUUGCGGAGGAAUAAGCGGGGGAGGGAAUGCCCNCGUGAUGACGUUAAGCAAUGAAUAAGCCCCGGCUAAUUACGUGCCAGCAGCCGCGGUAACACGUAAGGGGCGAGCGUUGUUCGGAAUUAUUGGGCGUAAAGGGCGCGUAGGCGGUUAUGUAAGCCUGGCGUGAAAUACUCUGGCUUAACCAGAGAACGGCGCUGGGAACUGUAUGACUAGAGUCAUGGAGGGGGAGUUGGAAUUCCAGGUGUAGGGGUGAAAUCUGUAGAUAUCUGGAAGAACACCGGUGGCGAAGGCGAAC